Long non-coding RNA from Acanthochromis polyacanthus (spiny chromis), 7282 nucleotides. RefSeq lists it as uncharacterized. NCBI's taxonomy places the organism in Eukaryota, Metazoa, Chordata, Actinopteri, Pomacentridae. The record is from RefSeq and is a predicted model, not a curated record. The transcript is spliced from 3 exons.
GGAGAAUCUGAAACGCUGCACUCCUGGGUUCAGCCCGUUGUCAUGGUAACAGCAGCGAGGCAAGACGAGCAGCAGACAGGCAGCUUCGCUCUUUCUUGAUCUCAGCUUCUCUUUAUGUCUCUCACACAGAGAUUAGUGGACAGCUGAUCUCAGUCCCUGGUUGCAUCUGUCUUCUUCUUCCUCCAGAUGAAAAUGGAUUGACGGCAAGGAGACCACUGGCUACUUCACACACGGACGCGUUCAGCGGCGUCGUGUGCGUCUGCGCAUUUCAAGUUCUCUGUUUUCUCUGGAGUUCUGAACUUGUUCUUUUGGUUGGCAAACAUCAUGGGAUUCACACAGUCUAACCUUUCCUUUCCAGCACAUGCAUAGCAACACGUUCAUCUGGGAGCUGCACCUCGGAAAGCCAGACCUGUACUUCCUCACAGCUGCUCCACUGCAGCCGGUGACAAACCGCCGUUGGUUAAGACAAACAAAAACACAAAAUGCUACAAAGGUCGCCUAGAUCGACUUAGAUAACAGGAUUUUAAACAAAGCUGUCUCUGCUGGCUACUCAGAGACUAAACAUAAGAUUUUGAACGUACCUUUACGUUUAACAAUUGAUUAAGAAUUUAAUUAUUACUCUGCCAAGGAACAUGGCGGAGUCACGUGACGAUCGGCUUACGUUUGUCCUUCUGUUAGGCUGUCUGUGUGCGACAUUGCUCAAAAACUGAAAAACAGAUUUGGAUAAAAUUUUCAGGGAAAGUCGAACCAAGUGAUUAGAUUUUGGCAGUGAUGCGUCUUAUAAUCUGGAUCCACGAAUUUGUUAAGGAAGUCAAAAUAGACCAUCAAAUCAGGAACAAUUUGUGCUCAAUAUGAAUCUGAUUCGGGGCUGCACAGUGGCAUAGUGGUUAGCAUUUUCGCCUUGCAGGAAGAAGAUCCCUGGUUCAAAUCCCGGCCUGGGAUCUUUCUGCAUGGAGUUUGCAUGUUCUCCCUGUGCAUGCGUGGGUUUUCUCCGGGUACUCCGGCUUCCUCCCACAGUCCAAAAACAUGCUGAGGGUAAUUGGUUACUCUAAAUUGUCCGUAGGUGUGAAUGUGAGUGUGAUUGUGUGUCUGUAUAUGUAGCCCUGUGACAGACUGGUGACCUGUCCAGGGUGUCCCCUGCCUUCACCCGAGUCAGCUGGGAUAGACUCCAGCACCCCCCGCCACCCAAGUGAGGAUAAAGCGGUGUAUAGAGGAUGGAUGGAUGGAUGAGUCUGAUUCUCAACAUUAGGAAGUUUAAAAAUAUAUUUCACUUUUACUUGUUAACCGUAUUGUGUACAUUUGCUUUCAUCUGUUCAUUGAGGUGCAGAUGUUUUUCAUGCUAGAAGGCUCUACAUCUUGAUCUCAGCGUGCAACCUGCACCAGUGCCUCUGCAAAAGUAACGACCAGCGCAUUACAGUUCAUGAAUCAGAAUGGCUGAGUGGUUUACACGAGGAAAAAACCCUUUUUACCACAGCGGUGCCAACAGAAAUGCAUCACACGCAGCCUCUGAUGCUCUCCAGCAGGAGCUAAAUGUAAAGUAGCUCAGCAGAAAUGACUGUGAGCAUCAUAAAAAUGUCCCCAACACAGUGACAAAUUACAAAGCAAAUUUCGAAUUUGCUUCAACAGCAGAGCUCUAGGGCAAAGAGGCGUAGUGUCACGAUUAGUAGCCUGAUCCUAAUCAAUGUGAGUGAGCUGAUCUGAUGAACAACAUUAUGCUGCCCUGCUUGGCUCCAGUGUGUUUUAUCUUUCCAAUGCUUUGUUUAUAAAGUCAUCACUCACCGGAAUUCUGCCAUUCUGUCUCACACUGACUCUGAUCCUCAUCAUUUCUUGUAAUUCUAAAGAUAUGAUUCAUUACCUCAAAGGUAAAUCUCGAGAGGAUCGACACAUCUUGGUCUGUGUUCAGUCCAGAAGGCUGCUUGGGGAUUGGGAUUCCCCACCGAACCAAAGGCAAAUCUCACAGGAGUGGGUGGUUUUAACUUUGCUGUAGGCAGUCAAAAAAUAAACUGUGGGUUUUCUGCUAACUACAAAGAUAGAGAAAAUAAAUGAAGAUAAAAGAGAGUUUAUACAUUACAAAAGCAAAGCAACUGUGACAUUUGGGCAUAUUUCUCAGUUGAUGCAACGCUUAGAGAUUUGUCACCUCUGGGUUCAGGUGACAGCAGCUCUGUUCUCCCAGAUCAAAGUAAGCGCUUCUUUAAAAAUAAAGCUCUGCUUCCUGCACAAGUUAAGCAACAAAUCAGCAAGAAAUGUAUGAAAUGUUGCUUACUUCCUUAAAAUGCAGUUCAUUUUAAUAAAUGCAGUUGUAAUUUUGCAGCGUUUUUACGGGGAGCUGUGCAUGUCUUUACUCAAACUGCACAGUAAAACAACAUGUUGUCUUUGUGGGAUGUGAGAGGACACAAAAUCAGUGGAAGUCUAUAUUAAGCAUGCAUGAUUUGCAGGUGCAGGCAGAAAUGGACACACAUCGUAGGAGUGUGCGGUAAUGGUCAGAAAUCCAGAGGGAGUAGGAUUAAGAAAACAGUCCCACACAGAGCUCAAGUUCAGUGUUUAAAAUACAAACUACGAAACACGCAGCUUUUAAACUGCCAAGCAGGAUCUGUUCCUCAUUUGUAAUUCACAGUUUUCUGUAAUUUCAGAAUGCAGAUGUUAUGCAGCUUCUGAGUUUUAGCUCAUGUUGUGUUCCACAGGGGAAACCAAAUGUUCAGCUACUGGGUAUCCAAUUAACAGCAGCUGUCCAAUUAAGUAAAACCAUGCUACUCUUAAAUGUACUAAAGGUAAAUUAUUCCUCAGUGACAAAAGUUAAAUUUCCAAAAAAUAACAUUAUUUUUAUCCAGCAAAUCCUACAACUUUUUUAAGUGGAGUAUAACCACCUUUGGGAUGUGCUAGGAGAGGGAUCCCAUUGUUUGUGUUUCUGAGGAAAAAUGUGUUAACAAAAGUUUCAAAAUAAGAGUGGUGGUAGGACGUCACUUUCAGAUCAAUUAAUUUCUUAGCCCCUUCAAUGAACUGUGCAUGUCAGCUUGCUAUGCAACGUCUCUUGUUUGAGUUUAGACUUCCAGCCCUCAGAUUGCAUCUUUGACUAGCUGUUCAUUGACAGAGCUAAGCUGCUGGAAGCCACCAGAUUCAGAGAUAUCGUAACAUAUUCACAUGUUGGUCGACUCACUAAUCGCCCGCUGACGUGGCUGCAGCCGCUACCCCUGCUGAGGCAAGGUCCUCCCCUGUUGCUAAUCAGUCUGUCGCUGUAACAAUAGCUCCCAGCAACUACUUUUAAGCAAACAACAGCUGCAGAGGCCACUGUUGCCAUUGCUCAGAAAUGUUACAUCAGCUGGCUUUAUGUCAAGAAGAAGAAGAUUAUAAUGGGCAACUGCUUCUUGUCAGAUUGUCUAAAGUCUAAAAUGACUCACUGGUAGUUACUUGUGUUUAGUAUACUGUCUCUUUGUAAUUAUUUCUACCUGACCUUUCAAACGAGUCUGCUCUUGCCUAUAAUGAUGAUAGUGUGAUUUGUGUUUCAACUUAAGGCCUUUUUGCAUUGGAAGCAGACAGUGUUAUACGUUAUUACACCUGCCAUGCUGCUUUGGAGGUGAUUCUUGCACACAUACAGAGAUGUUUCUGCCUAUUCUGGUUUGUGCCUGAUUAAAACAAUAAAGAACCGGUGGGAUUCCUGUUUGGUGACGUCAGUGUGACAUGGAUUUUGGUGAAGAAGCUGGUGGUUUCAUAAAUAAGCAAUAGAAACAAUGGAAGUUCAUCUAUAAAUUGAAUUUCAUGUAAAACAACCCCAGAAAAACAGAAUUAGAAAUAUGCUUAAAUACAAAAAGGAGUAUGAACAUAUGAUUGUGUAAAAGAGGCUUAAUGCUUGUUUUAAAAGGGCUGGAAAGACUUUAAAAACUGAAGUUAUCACAAUCUUUGAUCCACUUAUUCAGACUUGAAGAUUAAUGAUCAUGAUUGAUUGCUCAUGCCUGCGGAGGCUGGAAGGUAGAGCUCUGGUGAUCCGCCAGCUGGAGCUACCAGAGGAAGCGUCGCUGUCCUGAGCAUUUUUUCUCCUUCUUCAGCCUAUCCCAGCUGACUCGGGGUGAAGGCAGGGACACACCAACACCAGCUAACCUCAGCAUGUUUUUGGAUUGUGGGAGGAAGCUGGAGAACCUGGAGAAAACCCUCGCAUGCACAGGGAGAACAUGCAAACUCCAUGCAGAAAGAUCCAAGGAAGGCUGGUACGCAAACCAGGGAUCUUCUAGCUGCGAGGCGAUGGUGUUGACCUCCAGUAUCUCCACUGUGCAGGUAGGCAUAUUAGAGCACUUUUUAUUAGAUGAUACCUAAUUUCCAUAUUUUACCAUAUCAUUUCUGAAAACUUGUAGUAGUAGUACAAGAUCUAAAUGAAAUGAAAGAACAGUGUGAGAUACAUACACAUCUGAAACCAAAUGGGUCCACCUCUGUGGCUUCAUUAAUCCAGUUUGGUUCAAGACAUCUCCAGUAUCUCCAGUGUUCAACCACAAAUGUGAACAAUGUCAGACCUCAUUCUUGGUCUGCACCCAAGUUCAAGAACUAGGACCUUGUCUUUCAGUUAAACUGUUCGUUGAUUCAGACUAAGCUGCUUGUGGGAAAUUGUUCUUAGUCCCUCGACAUGUAGGAUGGCUUUCACUGUCAGUUCCAGCAUUAUCACACAUUCUCAGGGAAUUUACCUCUAAAUGCUUUAACACAACUCUUGUCGCCAGCAGCUCCUAAAUAGGAAGCAUAUCAACGCCUCGUUCAAAUCAGUAGUAUACUCAGUUUAAAUAAACAGAUCAUCUAUUUAGAUUGUACUUUAAAUGUUUUAUCCCUAUCCACUUUUCAGGGGUAAACUGUCUCGAUCCAGAAACCCCAGUCUGCAGAUGUGCCUGUUGGCUUUUGGGGUCAAGCUGUGGGAGGCCUUUCAUCUCUGUUACUAAUAUUACUCCUGUGCUCUGGUUUUCAUUUGGUUGCUAGUUUUUUCCACCAUGUCAUGCCAGAUGUAUGUCUUGGGAAAACAGUUCUGGAAUCACUGAUCCACUUAAGAGAAAAUAUGAAACAUAAUCUGUUGUCUGUUUCUGCAUUGAUUGUUAUUUUGCUUAAGUUACUUCCUGACCUGCAUCCAUCAGUUGGCCUGAUGGCUGCUUGUUUAUGACUCAAACAUCAUCCAUGGUACAGUGACGUUUAAGCACUUCAGUCAAUUUAUAUGACAGAAAACCAAGCCGUACAUUUUUACCUUGUAGAAUGAGGAAAUGAAAGCCUAAUUGUGUGUCGACUGCAGCUUUUUAAAGCCAACAGAAUGUCUUGUGAUACCAACUUCUAUCAGGGUGAAAAGAUUGAACCACGUGUUGCCUCCUGUACUACAAGACACAAGAUGAGUAAAAUAAGCAGUGAUGGUUGAUAAGCACCAUGGUUGAGCACUUCCACCUUAAAACUACUUAGAACUACUAAUGACUUUAUCACAAACACAGAAUAAGAUUUCUGGGGUUUUAUAUGCAACCAAACAAAAGAACCAAUGCUGUGAAUUUUCAAGGUGGGACUUCCUGUUUUAUUCUUCUUCUCCAGAAUGGGUUUGUCGUUCCAAGAUGUUUGGAUGAAUUGCUCCGGUAUUAGAACUUUUCACGGCACGCUAGCACCGUGUACUUGUACGAUGUUGGAACAGUCGUAGAUGAGCUGGUGGUCUCAUCCCUCUAAGUGGUGGAGGGAUGGAGGGAGAGAAAGGGAGAGACUUCGUAGAACCACACAUUCUAGAAGAAACAGCACAACUGAAGAAUGUGAAGGAAAGAGGACGUCAUAUUCAUGGAAACAAAUCUAAAAGUAUAAUUUUGAUACAUGGAGUUUUUAAGGGCCUAAUCAAUGAGCGUAGCAAGACUAAAUAGAAACGAAGGUCAGAUUUUUAAAGAAAUGGCUAAAGGUGAAGACAAAAGUUUUGAUAUUAAAUAGAGAACCGAAUGAAAACUCAUUGUGAUUUUUGUUCCAAAACAUGUACUACAGGUUUUUGGUCAGCAUGUGUCUCUUUUUAUUCCUGGCUGGAGGCAUUGUGCUUGUGUCUGCCCAUCCAUCUGUCACAUUUUCAUGAACUCCUUGAGGGAGUUAAUUCAAAUUUGGUGCAAAUGUUCAACUGGAUUGAUUCGACUUCGGUGGUCAAAGGUCAAAGUCACCGUGACCUCACAUCCGUACCUUUCUUCUGAAUGCUGCAUAUCAGGAAUGCCUGGCAGGAACUAAUGUUUGCUUGCACAUAAAGAUAACCUGAUUACAAUUUGGUGGUCAAGGGUCAGCAUAACUGUGACCUCACAUAUACAUUUCUGGCUAUACCUCAGGAAUUUAGAUGAUAAUUUUCACCAGAUUUCCCACACAUGUCUCAUCGAACAAACAGAUGAAUUGAUGACCAUUUUAUUUAAAAGGUCAAAGAUCCUCUUCACUGUAACAUCCGAGUGGUCCGCUCCAACGCUUUUCUGUCCAUUAUUCAACACCAUCAGAUGGAGACAUGGAUGUAAACUGCAGCUUGACUAUAUUGUGGAGGCAUACAACUUCCAGUUUAAGCGCAAUACGUAACUUGUAUGUAACCCGCCUAAAGAAGGGUUGAAAACCAUUUGUAUUCAUUUCUGAUCAUUACUUCUUUCCACCUUACAUUUUUAAGUAUUGUGGGUUUUAUUUUGGAAACCGGAACGUUUUUUUUGGAUGAGACAGGAAGUAGUGCGCUAAAACACUCGACUUAGCUUAACGUCGCUAAUGCUGCUGAUGUGAGAGUUGAAAAUGAGAGAAAAAGGUAUGAAAAACUGUUUGUCUUGCAUGAUAAACCAAGAAAUUACUAAGUCGAUUAUAUGAACUGAUUGAAAUUCCAUUUUAGAGGUUGGAGAACCGUCGAAGACGCACUUUUAAUCACCCUGCGUUCUCCAAAUGAAAACCGCAUUCUUGGUUAGGUCUUAUUUGAUGUCUGGAAAAUGUGAAGCUCCAGUCCUGGUGUCCAACGAGGCUGAUCGGUGAUCCAGUCGAUGGCGAGCCUCCCAGUCCAACUUUGAGCCUCCACUACACCAUUCAGCGGAUUCUGUGGUAGGAUUGCGUCAGUCCCACUUCCCGACACCAAUGAGAGCCCAUUUGGAUACCUUUCCUUGACUUUGACUACUCCCCUGACUUAUUGACUUGAACUUUGAAUGGAUCCACAACAAACUAGUUCCACUGGAAUACCUCAAAUGGACAUUUUAUGUUUUAUUUUCUCAGUUUAUUGGGGCCAUAGGUAUUGUACUGUACUGAUGUUGUGCACUGUUUAAAUAGUUGUCUAAAACUAAAAGUUUACAAUAACAACAUA